Molecule: ribosomal RNA, 305 nt
Filed under: uncultured bacterium
Lineage: Bacteria
Description: bacterial SSU rRNA
Rfam family: Bacterial small subunit ribosomal RNA
Source: RNAcentral
UUGACCUACGGGGCGCAGCAGUGGGGAAUAUUGCACAAUGGGUGAAAGCCUGAUGCAGCAACGCCGCGUGAAGGAAGAAGGCCUUCGGGUCGUAAACUUCUGUCCUUGGGGAAGAAGAACUGACGGUACCCAAGGAGGAAGCCCCGGCUAACUACGUGCCAGCAGCCGCGGUAAUACGGAGGGUGCGAGCGUUAAUCGGAAUUACUGGGCGUAAAGCGCUCGUAGGCGGUAUGUCAAGUCAAGGGUGAAAUCCCCGCGCUCAACGUGGGAACUGCCUUUGAAACUGGCAAACUGGAGGGUGUGAG